UACAGGGGGUGCAAACGUUGCUCGGAAUUAUUGGGCGUAAAGCGCGCGUAGGCGGCUACCUAAGUCGGAUGUGAAAGCCCCUGGCUUAACUGGGGAAGUGCACCCGAAACUGAGUAGCUAGAGUGCGAAAGAGGGUCGCGGAAUUCCCGGUGUAGAGGUGAAAUCCGUAGAUAUCGGGAGGAACACCGGUGGCGAAGGCGGCGACCUGGGUCGACACUGACGCUGAGGCGCGAAAGCGUGGGGAGCAAACAGG
This 253-nucleotide ribosomal RNA is filed under the name uncultured bacterium. RNAcentral's name for it is "partial 16S ribosomal RNA". It matches the Rfam family "Bacterial small subunit ribosomal RNA", at positions 524 to 776 of the family's 1533-position model. The record is from RNAcentral.